This 542-nucleotide ribosomal RNA is filed under the name Salmonella enterica subsp. enterica serovar Infantis. RNAcentral's name for it is "partial 23S ribosomal RNA". It matches the Rfam family "Bacterial large subunit ribosomal RNA", at positions 711 to 1250 of the family's 2925-position model. Lineage: Bacteria; Pseudomonadati; Pseudomonadota; Gammaproteobacteria; Enterobacterales; Enterobacteriaceae. The record is from RNAcentral. RNAcentral also lists the same sequence under 3 other names.
AGACCCGAAACCCGGUGAUCUAGCCAUGGGCAGGUUGAAGGUUGGGUAACACUAACUGGAGGACCGAACCGACUAAUGUUGAAAAAUUAGCGGAUGACCUGUGGCUGGGGGUGAAAGGCCAAUCAAACCGGGAGAUAGCUGGUUCUCCCCGAAAGCUAUUUAGGUAGCGCCUCGUGAAUUCAUCUCCGGGGGUAGAGCACUGUUUCGGCUAGGGGGCCAUCCCGGCUUACCAACCCGAUGCAAACUGCGAAUACCGGAGAAUGUUAUCACGGGAGACACACGGCGGGUGCUAACGUCCGUCGUGAAGAGGGAAACAACCCAGACCGCCAGCUAAGGUCCCAAAGUCAUGGUUAAGUGGGAAACGAUGUGGGAAGGCCCAGACAGCCAGGAUGUUGGCUUAGAAGCAGCCAUCAUUUAAAGAAAGCGUAAUAGCUCACUGGUCGAGUCGGCCUGCGCGGAAGAUGUAACGGGGCUAAACCAUGCACCGAAGCUGCGGCAGCGACACUCAGGUGUUGUUGGGUAGGGGAGCGUUCUGUAAGCCU